UAAAAGUUAGUUUAAUUAAAAACAUUGGUCUGUGAAUCCAGAAAUAAUUUUAGAUUACUUUUAU
Molecule: transfer RNA, 64 nt
Filed under: Glossodoris acosti
Lineage: Eukaryota; Metazoa; Mollusca; Gastropoda; Nudibranchia; Chromodorididae
Description: tRNA-His
Rfam family: tRNA
About the family: Transfer RNA (tRNA) molecules are approximately 80 nucleotides in length. Their secondary structure includes four short double-helical elements and three loops (D, anti-codon, and T loops).
Source: RNAcentral